GUUUAAUUGGGUGAGUAUGGUGUUUAUUUCGGCGGUAUUGGUGCAGCAAGAGAGCGAACUUCAUCUGCAACAACGGCAAAACCACGUCCAUGCUCCCCAGCUCUGGCUGCCUCAAUGGCAGCAUUAAGUG
This 130-nucleotide transfer RNA is filed under the name Shewanella benthica KT99. Its description in RNAcentral is "tRNA-Asn". The record is from RNAcentral. Lineage: Bacteria; Pseudomonadati; Pseudomonadota; Gammaproteobacteria; Alteromonadales; Shewanellaceae.